RNA transcript from Apis cerana (Asiatic honeybee), 3745 nucleotides. It is a transcript of the gene named vacuolar protein sorting 28, with no coding region annotated. The record is from RefSeq and is a predicted model, not a curated record. Lineage: Eukaryota; Metazoa; Arthropoda; Insecta; Hymenoptera; Apidae.
CUCCAAUCUGUCGAGAAAAGAUAGGAAAAAAUCAGAGGCGAGAGAGAGAGAGAGAGAGAGAGAUCGAUGAUGCGAUAGCGUCGGGACGUUGUUCGGAAGGUAAUGGUAAUCGCAAACAUUUGGGGUUACACUACGCGUCGAUGUCGCAACUAGAACGGAAUGCGAGGCUCGUUCUCGAGCAUGGUCUGUGAACGAGCGUGUGCGCGUCAUGAAUCGACGUCGAUUUUGAUAAAUGAUAAUACGGAAAUGCAUAAAGCUGAUCAAAACAUAAGCUAUGAAACAAAGAAACCGAAUCACGUAAGAAGAUUGAACUUUGGCCAAUCGAUCCUAACCUUAAACGUAGUUAAACAAUUUCAAGGGCAAAAGGAUGGUGUAUUGUUAAUUGAAAAAAAUGUGGCAGAUAUACCUUACAUCGAAAAGGGCGAUUUUGUGCACAAAUGGAUAGAAACUCACGUUAAUUAUGCUUUCGAUUCAAAAGAAACCGUGUUGGAUCAUUCGUCGGUCAUUACAGAUCAUCAAAGUUCUAUUACCGACUCUACGAGAGCUUCACCGAUUUUUGGUAAUCAAUGUAAAUUUAUUAGAGAAAAAGUUAAAUUAGAGAAUAAUGCUGUAAACAACAUUGAAAAUAUACAUUCAAAUGAUUCACAAAAUACGAGUACUAAAGAAAGUAGAAGUAGUAAGCGUAUGAGAAUAGAUAGUAAUGAUAAAAAGAAAAAUAUAAGAAGAAAACUAUUUGAUUCUCAACCUAUUACUGUUCCGUAUGAAUCAUCUGAUGCAAAUGUUUCUCCUAUACUUGUCAAGAAUUCUUAUUCCUACAAAAGAAGCCGUAGAAAAUAUGAAGAAGAAAAUGCUCAGCGAAAAGCCUUAGAUAGCAUUGAAAAUAAGUGUGUUACAAAUGAUACGACAUCCCCUUUAAUUCAUACUAAUAUAUAUAGAAGUCAAAAAAAAGUCAAAAAAUCUCCUAUUUUGAUUAAAAAUUCUUACAAACGUAAACGUACUGAACAAAAAAAGAAAAUUCAAGAAAAGAUAGAAAAUAAGUAUGUAAAUUCUGAUAUAAAUUCUAUAGAUUCUUGUAAUUCGAUUGAAGUAUCCUUGAAAAAGAAAUGGGAAGUCUUAAACAGUCAAAAGAAACGUGCAUUGUUAAAAAAAUUAGAAGAUGGUUUUAAAGUCAAUCAUUUAAAUCAUUCAAAGAAAGAUUUAGAAUCUACAGAAUCGUGUUCAUCAAUGUAUAAAAAAAUACUAAAUAUAGAAGAUAGUCCAAAGGAAAUAAAAGAUGUUGCGAAAAUUGAAAUUGAAACUAGUGAAGAUGAAGAUAAUGAUAGUAUUAAUAAUACUGUACAUAUAAGUAAUGAUACUGAUAAUGAUUCUAGCAUACGUGAUAAUAUAGAAGAUGCGGAUACGGAUUAUAUUAAUAAAAAUCAUAAUCGUAAUUUAGUAUUUCCUAUUUCGAAAUACACAUCGGUAAAUUCGCAAAUGUCCGAUAAUGAUUCGGAUGUAACAUUUUUUUUAAAAGGGGAACAACUUUCGCAUAAGUUUAUUAACGAACGAUCUUCUCAGAAAAUCUCUCAAUUUUCAACCCAAGUUACAAAUACUACGGAUAAUAUAUCGAGUCAAACUGGAAUUAUUAUUAAUACGAAAACACCACCACAAGAAACUUUGGCAGAUGCUUCGGUACAAUUAACUGUAUUAGAUUCGUGUAAAAAAAGAAGAAAACCUAAAAAAGGUAGUUUGUUGGAAAAAUUACAAUCAACGAUUAAUAGACAAGUAUCGUUUGUACGUAUAUGGAGACAUCAAUUAAAACAAACAAUACAACAAAAUACUCCUAUGCCAUGUAUUACUGUUUAUGUGCAAACAUGCAUAACUCGUUUUGGUAGACAAUUCUUGAAUGGAUUUGUGGUCGAAGAUCCAUUGGAUUUAUUUUCGCACAAAAAAGAAAACAAUUCCGUUAAAUUUAUAAAGAUCAUGACGAUUCCCGAAAUAGUAGGUCGAAUCGAAAUGAAAUCUAAAGGUUUAAUACAAAUUUUCCCUCCAUGGGAAAUUUUGGACGAAAAAGAAUCAAUGUUUCAUGUAACAUAUAUACGUGUUGUACCUGAUAAUGAAAUAGAUAUAAAAAAAUAUAAAAUCGAUUUAAAUCAAUUUAAAAAGUCGGUUAGAAAAAAAGAAUUUCAUUGUGUAUGUAUCGAUAAAAACACAAUGAUUUCAACUUGCGAAGAUCGAUUUAACAAACCAAAUAUAAUCGAAAAAUUAUUUAUGGAGUCAUAAAAAAAAUAUGAAAGAAAAUAUAAUAUGAUUAAAUUAAUAUUUAUAUAAAUAUAUUUAAUCUUUAUGAUACAAUCCAUGUUAUAUGACAUAGUAUGUCAUUAAAUAACGAGAUUAUAUUUAAUUGUUUAUUAUGAUGCAAUAAUUAUGAUUUUUUUGUAAUUUAAGCAAUCUUUUUGUUACUUAUUAUAAAUUUGUCUUAUUAAGUCAUUUACCAAAUAAAACUGAUAUUUUUGUUUGAUUUAUACAUGUUUACAUUACUUUUUAUUACGUUUGAUGCACGAGUAAAACAAAUAUGUAUAUAUAUAUAUAUUUUAAAACGAAAAUCGUCCGAUAGAUGGCUGCUUUUUCGCAUAACGUUUUUUGUAUUGUUGGUAAAAGUUUCUUAUUCUAAGUCUAAUAUUAUUAUUUUUCUGUAAAUCUUAUUUUUCUCUUAAUUUUAAUACGAUAUAAACGAGAAAAAUAUAAAAGAAUUUGAAACGUAUAAUAAUGUCGAUAGCUCAAGAUCGACCUGAACUUUACGAAGAAGUGAAACUUUAUAAGAAUGCAAGAGAAAGAGAAAAGCAUGACAAUCAAGCUGAUCUAUACGCAGUUGUGAAUACAUUGCAGCAUUUAGAGAAAGCUUACAUCAGAGAUUGUGUGACUCCAAAAGAAUACACGGCUGCUUGUAGCAAAUUAUUGGUACAAUAUAGAGCAGCUUUCAAACAGGUAUUUUAAUUUUAUGAUAAAUUUAUCGCAAUAAUUGUAACUGGUUUUAAAUAUAUUUUUUUGCUUAGGUACAAAGCGAUCAAUUUCCUACAAUAGAUGCAUUUGCUAGAGCAUUUCGAUUAGAUUGCCCAGCAGCGCUCGAGAGGAUCAAGGAAGACAGACCGAUCACUAUAAAGGAUGACAAAGGCAAUACAUCUAAAUGCAUCGCGGAUAUCGUUUCUUUGUUCAUUACGUUAAUGGAUAAAUUACGAUUAGAAAUCAAAGCGAUGGAUCAGUUACAUCCAGAUUUAAGAGAUCUAGUGGACACUAUGAAUCGAUUGAGUAUAUUGCCAAGCGAUUUCGAUGGAAAAGAAAAAGUUGCCGAAUGGUUACAAACUUUGAAUAAUAUGUCCGCUUCCGAUGAAUUAUCCGAUAAUCAAGUCAGGCAAUUGAUUUUCGAUUUAGAAACAUCUUAUAAUGCAUUUAAUAAAAUUCUUCAUAAUUCUUCGUAAAUUUGAUAACUGAAUCUGCGUUACAUCGGAAUCUAUAAUGGAUCUUUUAUCACUUUAUAUCAUCGAUUUUUCAAAGUUUUUUCGAAUGUUGCCAUAGUUUUAUCUUGUCACUGGUUAAAUCACAAAACAAUAUUUAGAAACAACUAUUUUAUACGCCAUUCUUUAUAAUGCGAUAUUUACGCGACAUAUUGUAUGUAACAUACAAAACGAUGUACAUAUAUAUAUGGUUUAAUUUAAUUGAAAAAAAUAAAAAUAAUUAUAGGUGCUUAUUAUUAUACUUUUUCAAA